CGUAGGUAAUCAAGAUGAGAGUAUAUAAACUAUAAUUAAAAUAAUAACAUAGGAGGUAAGGGAUGAUAAUGAAAGGAAUGAAAGACCCUCAUAAUUAUCUAUAUGUAAUAACUAUAAAUACAUGGAUCACUAAACGGUAGGAUUAAUCGAACAUAAUAAUACCUAUAUUAAAACACAUUAAAAACCACAA
Molecule: long non-coding RNA, 190 nt
Organism: Acyrthosiphon pisum (pea aphid)
Lineage: Eukaryota; Metazoa; Arthropoda; Insecta; Hemiptera; Aphididae
Exons: 2
Source: RefSeq, a predicted model, not a curated record